GACGAACGCUGGCGGCGUGCUUAACACAUGCAAGUCGAACGGAAAGGCCCCCUUGUGGGGUACUCGAGUGGCGAACGGGUGAGUAACACGUGAGUAACCUACCCUUGACUCUGGGAUAACUUCAUGAAACUGGGGCUAAUACCGGAUAGGAGCUCCUGCCGCAUGGUGGUGGUUGGAAAGUUUCGGCGGUUGGGGAUGGACUCGCGGCCUAUCAGCUUGUUGGUGGGGUAGUGGCCCACCAAGGCGUUGACGGGUAGCCGGCCUGAGAGGGUGACCGGCCCCAUUGGGACUGAGAUACGGCCCAGACUCCUACGGGAGGCAGCAGUGGGGAAUAUUGCACAAUGGGAGGAAGCCUGAUGCAGCAACGCCGCGUGCGGGAUGACGGCCUUCGGGUUGUAAACCGCUUUCGCCUGUGACGAAGCGUGAGUGACGGUAAUGGGUAAAGAAGCACCGGCUAACUACGUG
Molecule: ribosomal RNA, 465 nt
Filed under: uncultured bacterium
Lineage: Bacteria
Description: partial 16S ribosomal RNA
Rfam family: Bacterial small subunit ribosomal RNA
Source: RNAcentral